This 255-nucleotide ribosomal RNA is filed under the name uncultured bacterium. RNAcentral's name for it is "partial 16S ribosomal RNA". It matches the Rfam family "Bacterial small subunit ribosomal RNA", at positions 524 to 775 of the family's 1533-position model. The record is from RNAcentral.
UACGUAGGGUGCAAGCGUUGUCCGGAAUUAUUGGGCGUAAAGAGCUCGUAGGCGGUUCGUCGCGUCGGCUGUGAAAACCCGGAGCUCAACUCCGGGCCUGCAGUCGAUACGGGCGGACUCGAGUUCGGCAGGGGAGACUGGAAUUCCUGGGUGUAGCGGUGGAAUGCGCAGAUAUCAGGAGGAACACCGGUGGCGAAGGCGGGUCUCGUGGGCCGUAACUGGACGCUGAGGAGCGAAAGCAUGGGGAGCAACAGG